CCUGGGACUACUCCGAGAGAAGAGAGGGAUGGAGAGAAAGAGAUGGAAUGAGGUUUUUGAAACCACUACCGCUAUGGGACCUGGGACUACUCCGAGAGAAGAGAGGGAUGGAGAGAAAGAGAUGGAAUGAGGUUUUUGAAACCACUACCGCUAUGGGACCUGGGACUACUCCGAGAGAAGAGAGGGAUGGAGAGAAAGAGAUGGAAUGAGGUUUUUGAAACCACUACCGCUAUGGGACCUGGGACUACUCCGAGAGAAGAGAGGGAUGGAGAGAAAGAGAUGGAAAGAGGUUUUUGAAACCACUACCGCUAUGGGACCUGGGACUACUCCGAGAGAAGAGAGGGAUGGAGAGAAAGAGAUGGAAAGAGGUUUUUGAAACCACUACCGCUAUGGGACCUGGGACUACUCCGAGAGAAGAGAGGGAUGGAGAGAAAGAGAUGGAAUGAGGUUUUUGAAACCACUACCGCUAUGGGACCUGGGACUACUCCGAGAGAAGAGAGGGAUGGAGAGAAAGAGAUGGAAAGAGGUUUUUGAAACCACUACCGCUAUGGGACCUGGGACUACUCCGAGAGAAGAGAGGGAUGGAGAGAAAGAGAUGGAAAGAGGUUUUUGAAACCACUACCGCUAUGGGACCUGGGACUACUCCGAGAGAAGAGAGGGAUGGAGAGAAAGAGAUGGAAAGAGGUUUUUGAAACCACUACCGCUAUGGGACCUGGGAC
Long non-coding RNA from Oncorhynchus keta (chum salmon), 719 nucleotides. RefSeq lists it as uncharacterized. The transcript is spliced from 4 exons. The record is from RefSeq and is a predicted model, not a curated record. NCBI's taxonomy places the organism in Eukaryota, Metazoa, Chordata, Actinopteri, Salmoniformes, Salmonidae.